This 407-nucleotide ribosomal RNA is filed under the name Verrucomicrobiota bacterium. RNAcentral's name for it is "Verrucomicrobia bacterium partial 16S ribosomal RNA". It matches the Rfam family "Bacterial small subunit ribosomal RNA", at positions 355 to 776 of the family's 1533-position model. Lineage: Bacteria; Pseudomonadati; Verrucomicrobiota. The record is from RNAcentral.
UGGGGAAUAUUGGACAAUGGAGGAAACUCUGAUCCAGCAAUUCUGUGUGUGUGAAGAAGGUUUUAGGACUGUAAAACACUUUUAGUAGGGAAGAAAAAAAUGACGGUACCUACAGAAGAAGCAACGGCUAAAUACGUGCCAGCAGCCGCGGUAAUACGUAUGUUGCGAGCGUUAUCCGGAAUUAUUGGGCUUAAAGGGCAUCUAGGCGGUAAGACAAGUUGAAGGUGAAAACCUGUGGCUCAACCAUAGGCUUGCCUACAAAACUGUUGAACUAGAGUACUGGAAAGGUGGGUGGAACUACACGAGUAGAGGUGAAAUUCGUAGAUAUGUGUAGGAAUGCCGAUGAUGAAGAUAACUCACUGGGCAGAAACUGACGCUGAAGUGCGAAAGCUAGGGGAGCAAACAGG